AGGCGUGAUGACGAGGCACUACGGUGCUGAAGCAACAAAUGCCCUGCUUCCAGGAAAAGCCUCUAAGCAUCAGGUAACAUCAAAUCGUACCCCAAACCGACACAGGUGGUCAGGUAGAGAAUACCAAGGCGCUUGAGAGAACUCGGGUGAAGGAACUAGGCAAAAUGGUGCCGUAACUUCGGGAGAAGGCACGCUGACACGUAGGUGAAGUGAUUUACUCAUGGAGCUGAAGUCAGUCGAAGAUACCAGCUGGCUGCAACUGUUUAUUAAAAACACAGCACUGUGCAAACACGAAAGUGGACGUAUACGGUGUGACGCCUGCCCGGUGCCGGAAGGUUAAUUGAUGGGGUCAGCGCAAGCGAAGCUCCUGAUCGAAGCCCCGGUAAACGGCGGCCGUAACUAUAACGGUCCUAAGGUAGCGAAAUUCCUUGUCGGGUAAGUUCCGACCUGCACGAAUGGCGUAAUGAUGGCCAGGCUGUCUCCACCCGAGACUCAGUGAAAUUGAACUCGCUGUGAAGAUGCAGUGUACCCGCGGCAAGACGGAAAGACCCCGUGAACCUUUACUAUAGCUUGACACUGAACAUUGAGCCUUGAUGUGUAGGAUAGGUGGGAGGCUUUGAAGUGUGGACGCCAGUCUGCAUGGAGCCGGCCUUGAAAUACCACCCUUUAAUGUUUGAUGUUCUAACGUGGACCCGUGAUCCGGGUUGCGGACAGUGUCUGGUGGGUAGUUUGACUGGGGCGGUCUCCUCCUAAAGAGUAACGGAGGAGCACGAAGGUUGGCUAAUCCUGGUCGGACAUCAGGAGGUUAGUGCAAUGGCAUAAGCCAGCUUGACUGCGAGCGUGACGGCGCGAGCAGGUGCGAAAGCAGGUCAUAGUGAUCCGGUGGUUCUGAAUGGAAGGGCCAUCGCUCAACGGAUAAAAGGUACUCCGGGGAUAACAGGCUGAUACCGCCCAAGAGUUCAUAUCGACGGCGGUGUUUGGCACCUCGAUGUCGGCUCAUCACAUCCUGGGGCUGAAGUAGGUCCCAAGGGUAUGGCUGUUCGCCAUUUAAAGUGGUACGCGAGCUGGGUUUAGAACGUCGUGAGACAGUUCGGUCCCUAUCUGCCGUGGGCGCUGGAGAACUGAGGGGGGCUGCUCCUAGUACGAGAGGACCGGAGUGGACGCAUCACUGGUGUUCGGGUUGUCAUGCCAAUGGCACUGCCCGGUAGCUAAAUGCGGAAGAGAUAAGUGCUGAAAGCAUCUAAGCACGAAACUUGCCCCGAGAUGAGUUCUCCCUGAGACUUUAGGUCUCCUGAAGGAACGUUGAAGACGACGACGUUGAUAGGCCGGGUGUGUAAGCGCAGCGAUGCGUUGAGCUAACCGGUACUAAUGAACCGUGAGGCUUAACCUUACA
RNAcentral lists this ribosomal RNA (1393 nucleotides) under Salmonella enterica. RNAcentral's name for it is "partial 23S ribosomal RNA". It matches the Rfam family "Bacterial large subunit ribosomal RNA", at positions 1559 to 2925 of the family's 2925-position model. Lineage: Bacteria; Pseudomonadati; Pseudomonadota; Gammaproteobacteria; Enterobacterales; Enterobacteriaceae. The record is from RNAcentral.